The sequence is a ribosomal RNA, 553 nucleotides long. The stretch from base 212 to 365 matches the Rfam family "5.8S ribosomal RNA".
UUUCGUAGGGUGGACCUGGGGGGGGGUUCAUGGUGGGAAUGUGCCUUGGGUGCACCCCAGAAAAUCCUUUGUGAACUUAUACCUACUGUUGCCUCGGCGCAGGCCGGCCUCUCCUGGCAGAGGCCCCCUGGAGACAGGGAGCAGCCCGCCGGCGGCCAGCUAAACUCUUGUUUCUACAGUGAAUCUCUGAGUAAAAACAUAAAUGAAUCAAAACUUUCAACAACGGAUCUCUUGGUUCUGGCAUCGAUGAAGAACGCAGCGAAAUGCGAUAAGUAAUGUGAAUUGCAGAAUUCAGUGAAUCAUCGAAUCUUUGAACGCACAUUGCGCCCUCUGGUAUUCCGGAGGGCAUGCCUGUUCGAGCGUCAUUUCAACCCUCAAGCCUGGCUUGGUGAUGGGGCACUGCCUGUGAAAGGGCAGGCCUUGAAAUCUAGUGGCGAGCUCGCCAGGACCCCGAGCGUAGUAGUAUUAUCUCGCCCUGGAAGGCCCUGGCGGUGCCCUGCCGUUAAACCCCCCGACUCCUGAAAAUUGACCUCGGAUCAGUAGGAAUCCGGUU